AUACGGAGGACGCGAGCGUUAUCCGGAUUCAUUGGGUUUAAAGGGUGCGCAGGCGGCCGUGCAAGUCAGCGGUGAAAGCCCGGGGCUCAACCCCGGAAGUGCCGUUGAUACUGCAUGGCUGGAAUGCGGUCGAGGCGGGCGGGACGGGGGGUGGAGGGGGGCAAUGCGUAGAUAUGCCACAGAACGCCGAUAGCGGAGGCAGCUCGCCAGGCCUGCAUUGACGCUCGGGCACGAAAGCGUGGGGAUCGAACAGGAUUAGAUACCCUGGUAGUCCACGCCGUAAACGAUGGGCGCUCGUCGUCGGCGGCAGACAGUCGGCGGCCAAGCGAAAGCGAUAAGCGCCCCACCUGGGGAGUACGGUCGCAAGGCUGAAACUCAAAUGAAUUGGCGGGG
Molecule: ribosomal RNA, 393 nt
Filed under: uncultured bacterium
Lineage: Bacteria
Description: partial 16S ribosomal RNA
Rfam family: Bacterial small subunit ribosomal RNA
Source: RNAcentral